UACGUAGGGUGCAAGCGUUAAUCGGAAUUACUGGGCGUAAAGCGUGCGCAGGCGGUUUUGUAAGUCUGUCGUGAAAUCCCCGGGCUCAACCUGGGAAUUGCGAUGGAGACUGCAAGGCUAGAAUCUGGCAGAGGGGGGUAGAAUUCCACGUGUAGCAGUGAAAUGCGUAGAGAUGUGGAGGAAUACCGAUGGCGAAGGCAGCCUCCUGGGCCAACACUGACGCUCAUGCACGAAAGCGUGGGGAGCAAAAGGG
Molecule: ribosomal RNA, 253 nt
Filed under: uncultured bacterium
Lineage: Bacteria
Description: partial 16S ribosomal RNA
Rfam family: Bacterial small subunit ribosomal RNA
Source: RNAcentral